UUCAUUUUAAAACAAGUCUCCAUCUGCUUCAGUUGUCAGGGAGAAUGCUCUAAUGCUGUUUUGCUGAUAAGCUCCAGAAAUGUGUUGUGGACAAUAAAACGUCACCUGACUUUCCAUCAGCAUGAGCUGCAGCAGUGGUGAGCAGCUGGAGGAAGAUAGCUGCAGGCCUUAACAAACAGCCACUUUAUGGCUUGGACCACUGAAGGAUGUUAUAUAACCAACCACCAGAGGGAUGCAAACCUUGUCCUGUGUUCGGAGUUUACCACUGAUCUGUCACCGCAUGCGAUGGAAUGGAAGAGAGGAAAGUCACGCUGGUCUCAGAGGCUCGGCGGUGGGCUGCUGCCCUCCCCGCUGGCUGUCCUCCGCUCUGGCCGCGGAGGGAGCCUCCUUGUCCAGUUUACCCGGGUCUGCUGCUUCGGCCGGCGCGGGGUCGGCGUUUUUGUCCGCCU
This is a long non-coding RNA of Acanthopagrus latus (yellowfin seabream), 449 nucleotides long. RefSeq lists it as uncharacterized. Lineage: Eukaryota; Metazoa; Chordata; Actinopteri; Spariformes; Sparidae. The transcript is spliced from 4 exons. The record is from RefSeq and is a predicted model, not a curated record.